GUGAGGAAUAUUGGUCAAUGGGCGGAAGCCUGAACCAGCCAUCCCGCGUGGAGGAAGACGGCCCUAUGGGUUGUAAACUUCUUUUCAAGGGGAAGAAAGUUCGCGACGUGUCGCGAUUUGCCGGUACCUUUGGAAUAAGCAUCGGCUAACUCCGUGCCAGCAGCCGCGGUAAUACGGAGGAUGCGAGCGUUAUCCGGAUUUAUUGGGUUUAAAGGGUGCGUAGGCCGAUCGAUAAGUCAGCGGUGAAAUACCAUGGCCCAACCAUGGAACUGCCGUUGAUACUGUCGGUCUUGAAUAUGGUCAAGGUAGGCGGAAUGUGUAAUGUAGCGGUGAAAUGCUUAGAUAUUACACAGAACACCGAUUGCGAAGGCAGCUUACUGGUCCAUUAUUGACGCUGAGGCACGAAAGCGUGGGGAUCGAACAGGAUUAGAUACCCUUGUAGUCC
Molecule: ribosomal RNA, 445 nt
Filed under: uncultured bacterium
Lineage: Bacteria
Description: partial 16S ribosomal RNA
Rfam family: Bacterial small subunit ribosomal RNA
Source: RNAcentral